GUAGAUAUAGUUUAUCACAAAACAUUAGACUGUGAAUCUAAAAAUAAGAACCUACAAAUCUUUAUCUACC
Psammomys obesus (fat sand rat) is the source of this 70-nucleotide non-coding RNA. NCBI's taxonomy places the organism in Eukaryota, Metazoa, Chordata, Mammalia, Rodentia, Muridae. The record is from the annotation of a RefSeq genome assembly.